RNAcentral lists this long non-coding RNA (1062 nucleotides) under Capra hircus (goat). Its description in RNAcentral is "lncRNA (ENSCHIG00010012841.1)". The record is from RNAcentral. Lineage: Eukaryota; Metazoa; Chordata; Mammalia; Artiodactyla; Bovidae.
AAAGAGUCGGAUACGACUGAGCGACUGAACUGAACUGAACUGAACUGAAAUGCGGCUGUGAGGAUGUGAUUGGAGGAGGGUUCGUAGAUGGGGGGAUUUGUUGGGGGGAUACUGAAGUCAUCUAGGAGGGACUCGUCGCUUAGACUAGAGUGGCGGUAGUGGAGAUACUUAGAGGGAAGUGGAUCUGAGAGCUGCUCAGCUGUCGCUGUGCAGGGUUUGGUGAUGGGCUGAAGUGCCGUGUGAGGAGGAAAGCAUGUCAGGGCGAGCUCUGAAGUCUCUGGUUUACAAAGUGAAGAUGGUGGUUGAAGCUGAAACAGGAUAAGGUGUGAGCUAUAAAAGCCAAGAGACCCCAGGGUACCACCCUAAGGAAAUUAAUUUCAACCUUACUGCUCACUGCUUCUGAGCUCCAGUUUCUCCCUGUUCACCCAAGUGUUCAGGCAGGUGGUUGGAUUGGAAUAGUGUGAGCAGGUUCGUGAAGGAAGCCAAGACCUCACUGGAAUUAGGAUUCCAUCUCUCAGCCCACUCACCUGUGGUUGAAUGGAGAACAUCCGUCCAUGAGCCCGGUUUUUGCAGACCUCUUGGGGGUAUUUUUCUCCCCUUUUCACUGAUGGCCUCUGACCAGCUUUCUCAAGAGAACUUCUCAACGAGUUGUAACAAAGCUUUGGGAUUCCUUAUUGCUGGGAAGACUCUUGUCUUAAGUUUCAUCUGACUUUUCUUCAUCCUGACCCCGGGAGUUCAGAAAUGUGCCAGAGGGAGUCUGUGACUCAUUCUCCCAGGAGCAGACCUAAACUGCAGGUGGUCCCUGAGGGAAUGCUGGAGAGGUCCUGGGGAAGGUUGUCUGGGAACCGCUGUGGACAGAUGGUCUUCACUGACAGCGUCCAACCACGGUGAGCCUCUCUUCCCAGGUUACUGAGACUCAGAAAGCCAAGAUGUACACAGGGAGGCAGUCAACGUAAUCCCCAGGUCUCACGGGAAGUGAUGGGAAGUAACAAUGACGUCAACGUGUGAGCUCUUUGACUGGGAGCUGUGGCUUCCCCAGCUGUCAUUUCCUCCGAUCUUCAG